CCUACGGGAGGCAGCAGUGGGGAAUAUUGGGCAUGGGCGCAAGCCUGACCCAGCAACGCCGCGUGAAGGAAGAAGGCAUUCGGGUUGGAAACUUCCUUUCCCAGGGACGAAGCCAGUGACGGUAACUGAGGAAUAAGCCACGGGCAAAUACGUGCCAGCAGCCGCGGUAAUACGGAGGUGGGAAGCGGUUUCCGGCUUUACUGGGUGUAAAGGGGGUGGUGGCGGGACUGCAAAGCAGAUGUGAAAACCAAGGGCUCAACCUGUGGCCUGCAUUUGAAACUGUAGUUCUUGAGUACUGGAGAGGCAGACGGAAUUCCUAGUGUAGCGGUGAAAUGCGUAGAUAUUAGGAGGAACACCAGUGGCGAAGGCGGUCUGCUGGACAGCAACUGACGCUGAGGCGCGAAAGCGUGGGGAGCAAACAGGAUUAGAUACCCUAGUAGUC
Molecule: ribosomal RNA, 442 nt
Filed under: uncultured bacterium
Lineage: Bacteria
Description: partial 16S ribosomal RNA
Rfam family: Bacterial small subunit ribosomal RNA
Source: RNAcentral